RNAcentral lists this long non-coding RNA (317 nucleotides) under Elaeis guineensis (African oil palm). Its description in RNAcentral is "long non-coding RNA (EGUI_LNC039224)". The record is from RNAcentral. Lineage: Eukaryota; Viridiplantae; Streptophyta; Magnoliopsida; Arecales; Arecaceae.
UAUGCAUUAAAGCAUCUAAUCAGAUCUCUUAGAUUUACUAGGGUUCGGAUGUUCAAUUGGACUCAUCUUAUGACCCAAAUUGAACCAAUUCGAAUCCCUAGGUGAACAUAAUCUAGAUUACAUAUCAUAACGAUGCAUAAUCAUACUCAAGCAUAAAUAUGAUCAUAAUCAUGACAUCAUGCAUCUAAACAUAUCUCUAAGAUGGUUUAGGAUUUGGACGUUCAAUUAAUCUCAACUCUUAGGCUAAUUUGAACCAAACCAAAACCCCAACUUGAUCACAAUCAACACUACAUUCUAUCCUUUGAUUGUAUUCAUCA